UUACAGAUGGUUCGAGUGUAUUAUGGAUUGCUGCAACUCGUUUCAUCACUGUUCAUGACAGACACAGGAGGGAGAAUAGUAGAUUGAGUCUUCCCCAUGAGAGGGAUGAUAGGAAUUGGUGUUGGCGAGACCAGUUGCCUCUGUUUGGAGCUGUCUGACGGUAUUUACUGGAAAUCCGCAUUCACAAGUUUGACAGAGGUGAUAGAAACUUGCUGCUGGAAUCGACUUCUUCCCAUGGAUGCUCCAUGUAUUUACUGAAAUGGUGAUGAAUCUCCGGUAAAGGGCUGAUUUGAAUUCUGCACUCCCCACCCCCCCUUCACGCUGGACAAUUGCCCGAGUCUGUGUUUCUCUGUAGACGGAGGAAGUGAGGACUGCAGAUGCUGGAGAUCAGCGUCGAGAGUGAGGUGCUGGAUAAGUACAGCAGGUCAGGCAGCAUUCAAGGAAUAGGAUGUUUCUCUGUGGAUGCCAGGAAGUUUGCAGUGUUGGGAGGUGUCCUUUUCUGGGUGGGUUGAGGACAUCUUGUGUGUGGACUGUUCCUGUGUAUAAAUUGGCUGCUGUGUUAACUGAGGUGACAGUCAUCAGAUCGCACCGACCAUCUCAGCUCUACGACAAUUUAUGGACUUCCUGAGGAUGUGAAAGCGGCUACAUAAAUGCAAGUUCUUCCAAUCAUUCUACCUGACCAUUAAUCCCAGAUAAUGAUGAUGAGAACUUUCAAAGGUUAUUUCUGCAAUUUGUUGGGAGACUUCUGAAUUAACUCGUUUUUCAGAUGAGCAGUUGGAUAACAUAACUCUCAGAAUACAGUGAGGAAGCCUGAACUCGUUGCUGUUCUUUAAACGACAGGCCAAACAUGCAUUUAAUGAACAAAGUAUGAUGUUUAUUUUUCUUUCAGAACCUCAGAACUACGUGUUAGACCAUUUCUCCCAUUGUACUCGACGGUGGGAACAAACACAGGUAUUGCUGGGAAAACUGACAUUCUAAGAAAGGGUCACCAGAGCCAAAAUGUUAACUCUGCUUUCUCUCCACAGAUGAUGCCAGACCUGUUGAGUUUCUCCAGCAAUUUCCGUGUAUUGUUUCUGAUUUCCAGCAUCCACAGUUCUUUGGUUUUCUUUGGUGGGAGAGGUUUGUUUCAGGUCAAUUCUAUUGGUAUCCAAAUAUCUCACCAUCUCAGCCCCAAUAUACUCAAACACUGACAUUGAAACCCUCCAGGGUGCAGAAUUCCCAAGUCUACAACCCUCCCUCUGAAGACGUUUCACCUCUUCUCAAUCUGAAGUGAUUAGCCUCUUAUCCUGAGCCCGCGUCCUCUGAAUUUCACAGCCUCUCAGUGCCAAUCCCCUUCAUGAUCUUCCAAAUUUCAAUUCGAUGACCUCCCAUUCUUCAAAUUCUCUGAGAGAACAUUGACCCAUUAAACCAGUCCAUUCAAACUUUGUCACGCCACCUUGAAGGCAAAUAGGAGACCAAGGAGACCAAAACUAUCCACCUAAUUCCCAGUGUGAUUGAUUUUUAAUGCAGCCCUGCAGAAUUGCAGCAAGACCUCUUUACUCCAACCCCACCUGCAACAAAACCUUGUCUACAAGCUGCCUUCCUCUUGCUAGCUGUACCUGCAGGCUAAUUUUCAUGGUGCCAUGAAAGAUAACAGGAGCCACUUCUCCACCCAAAGAGUGGUACGUGUUUGGAAUGAGGUGC
Molecule: long non-coding RNA, 1683 nt
Organism: Chiloscyllium plagiosum (whitespotted bambooshark)
Lineage: Eukaryota; Metazoa; Chordata; Chondrichthyes; Orectolobiformes; Hemiscylliidae
Source: RefSeq, a predicted model, not a curated record